This 615-nucleotide ribosomal RNA is filed under the name Escherichia coli. Its description in RNAcentral is "partial 23S ribosomal RNA". It matches the Rfam family "Bacterial large subunit ribosomal RNA", at positions 612 to 1227 of the family's 2925-position model. The record is from RNAcentral. Lineage: Bacteria; Pseudomonadati; Pseudomonadota; Gammaproteobacteria; Enterobacterales; Enterobacteriaceae.
AUAAUGGGUCAGCGACUUAUAUUCUGUAGCAAGGUUAACCGAAUAGGGGAGCCGAAGGGAAACCGAGUCUUAACUGGGCGUUAAGUUGCAGGGUAUAGACCCGAAACCCGGUGAUCUAGCCAUGGGCAGGUUGAAGGUUGGGUAACACUAACUGGAGGACCGAACCGACUAAUGUUGAAAAAUUAGCGGAUGACUUGUGGCUGGGGGUGAAAGGCCAAUCAAACCGGGAGAUAGCUGGUUCUCCCCGAAAGCUAUUUAGGUAGCGCCUCGUGAAUUCAUCUCCGGGGGUAGAGCACUGUUUCGGCAAGGGGGUCAUCCCGACUUACCAACCCGAUGCAAACUGCGAAUACCGGAGAAUGUUAUCACGGGAGACACACGGCGGGUGCUAACGUCCGUCGUGAAGAGGGAAACAACCCAGACCGCCAGCUAAGGUCCCAAAGUCAUGGUUAAGUGGGAAACGAUGUGGGAAGGCCCAGACAGCCAGGAUGUUGGCUUAGAAGCAGCCAUCAUUUAAAGAAAGCGUAAUAGCUCACUGGUCGAGUCGGCCUGCGCGGAAGAUGUAACGGGGCUAAACCAUGCACCGAAGCUGCGGCAGCGACGCUGAUGCGUUGUUGG